CGGGGCGUAGCGCAGCCUGGUAGCGCAUCUGCUUUGGGAGCAGAGGGCCGUUGGUUCGAAUCCAGCCGCCCCGACCA
Molecule: transfer RNA, 77 nt
Filed under: Rhodospirillaceae bacterium
Lineage: Bacteria; Pseudomonadati; Pseudomonadota; Alphaproteobacteria; Rhodospirillales; Rhodospirillaceae
Also listed under: 2 other names
Description: tRNA-Pro
Rfam family: tRNA
About the family: Transfer RNA (tRNA) molecules are approximately 80 nucleotides in length. Their secondary structure includes four short double-helical elements and three loops (D, anti-codon, and T loops).
Source: RNAcentral